GCUUCCUUAGCUCAGUCGGUAGAGCGCGAGUCUCAUACGAGGUAUGAGAUUGAUUGACAAUUAUUAUCUCGAGGUCGCAAGUUCGAGCCUUGCAGGGAGCA
Molecule: non-coding RNA, 101 nt
Organism: Rhodocollybia butyracea
Lineage: Eukaryota; Fungi; Basidiomycota; Agaricomycetes; Agaricales; Omphalotaceae
Source: the annotation of a GenBank genome assembly